RNAcentral lists this ribosomal RNA (253 nucleotides) under uncultured bacterium. Its description in RNAcentral is "partial 16S ribosomal RNA". It matches the Rfam family "Bacterial small subunit ribosomal RNA", at positions 524 to 776 of the family's 1533-position model. The record is from RNAcentral.
UACAGAGGUCCCAAGCGUUGUUCGGAUUCACUGGGCGUAAAGGGUGCGUAGGUGGUCGGGUAAGUCUGAUGUGAAAUCUCUGGGCUCAACCCAGAAAUGGCAUUGGAUACUAUUCGGCUGGAGGAGUGGAGGGGGGACUGGAAUACUUGGUGUAGCAGUGAAAUGCGUAGAUAUCAAGUGGAACACCAGUGGCGAAGGCGAGUCCCUGGACACUUCCUGACACUGAGGCACGAAAGCUAGGGGAGCAAACAGG